This 62-nucleotide transfer RNA is filed under the name Cryptotympana facialis. RNAcentral's name for it is "tRNA-Arg". The record is from RNAcentral. Lineage: Eukaryota; Metazoa; Arthropoda; Insecta; Hemiptera; Cicadidae.
AAGUAAUGAAGUAAAAAAUACAUUUAGUUUCGACCUAAAAUAAGAAUGAUAUUCCUUACUUA